Molecule: ribosomal RNA, 259 nt
Filed under: uncultured bacterium
Lineage: Bacteria
Description: partial small subunit ribosomal RNA
Rfam family: Bacterial small subunit ribosomal RNA
Source: RNAcentral
AGAAUCAACGCUGGCGGCGUGCCUAACACAUGCAAGUCGAACGAGAAAGUGGAGCAAUCCAUGAGUAAAGUGGCGACCGGGUGAGUAACACGUGACUAACCUACCUUCAAGUGGGGGAUAACCUCGGGAAACCGGGGCUAAUACCGCAUAACAUCUUUGGAGUGGAAAUUCUGGAGAUCAAAGGAGUAAUUCGCUGGAAGAGGGGGUCGCGGCUGAUUAGCUAGUUGGCGGGUAAUGGCCCACAAGGCUUUGAUCGGUA